Molecule: ribosomal RNA, 332 nt
Filed under: uncultured Anaerolineae bacterium
Lineage: Bacteria; Bacillati; Chloroflexota; Anaerolineae
Description: partial 16S ribosomal RNA
Rfam family: Bacterial small subunit ribosomal RNA
Source: RNAcentral
CCUACGGGAGGCAGCAGUGGGGAAUUUUGGACAAUGGGGGAAACCCUGAUCCAGCCAUUCCGCGUGAGUGAAGAAGGCCUUCGGGUUGUAAACCUCUUUUCUGGGGGACGAGACCAGGACGGUACCUCAGGAAUAAGUCUCGGCUAACUACGUGCCAGCAGCCGCGGUAAGACGUAGGAGGCGAGCGUUAUCCGGAUUUACUGGGCGUAAAGCGCACGCAGGCGGCUUCGUUAGUCGGAUGUGAAAGCUCCUGGCUUAACUGGGAGAGGCCAUUCGAUACUGCGGGGCUUGAGGUUGGAAGAGGGGUGUGAAAUUCCCGGUGUAGGGGGGGA